AAAUUGAAGAGUUUGAUCAUGGCUCAGAUUGAACGCUGGCGGCAGGCCUAACACAUGCAAGUCGAACGGUAACAGGAAGCAGCUUGCUGUUUCGCUGACGAGUGGCGGACGGGUGAGUAAUGUCUGGGAAACUGCCUGAUGGAGGGGGAUAACUACUGGAAACGGUAGCUAAUACCGCAUAACGUCGCAAGACCAAAGAGGGGGACCUUCGGGCCUCUUGCCAUCGGAUGUGCCCAGAUGGGAUUAGCUAGUAGGUGGGGUAACGGCUCACCUAGGCGACG
Molecule: ribosomal RNA, 281 nt
Filed under: Escherichia coli
Lineage: Bacteria; Pseudomonadati; Pseudomonadota; Gammaproteobacteria; Enterobacterales; Enterobacteriaceae
Also listed under: 1 other name
Description: partial 16S ribosomal RNA
Rfam family: Bacterial small subunit ribosomal RNA
Source: RNAcentral